UACGGAGGGGGCGAGCGUUAUUCGGAAUUAUUGGGCGUAAAGGGCGCGUAGGCGGCUGUACAAGUCAAAGGUGAAAUCCCUCGGCUCAACUGAGGAACUGCCUUUGAAACUGUACGGCUUGAGGCCGGGAGGGGGUAGCGGAAUUCCCAGUGUAGCGGUGAAAUGCGUAGAGAUCGGGAGGAACACCAGUGGCGAAGGCGGCCGGCUGGGGGUGACCUGACGCUGAGGCGCGAAAGCGUGGGGAGCGAACCGG
RNAcentral lists this ribosomal RNA (253 nucleotides) under uncultured bacterium. RNAcentral's name for it is "partial 16S ribosomal RNA". It matches the Rfam family "Bacterial small subunit ribosomal RNA", at positions 524 to 776 of the family's 1533-position model. The record is from RNAcentral.